AAACUUUCAACAACGGAUCUCUAGGCUCUUGCAUCGAUGAAGAACGCAGUGAAAUGCGAUACGUAAUGUGAAUUGCAGAUUCUCGUGAAUCAUUGAAUUUUUGAACGCAUAUUGCGCCUUAUGGUAUUCCAUAAGGCAUGCCUGUCUGAGCGUCAGCU
Molecule: ribosomal RNA, 158 nt
Filed under: Peziza sp. GYYL_G005
Lineage: Eukaryota; Fungi; Ascomycota; Pezizomycetes; Pezizales; Pezizaceae
Description: 5.8S ribosomal RNA
Rfam family: 5.8S ribosomal RNA
About the family: 5.8S ribosomal RNA (5.8S rRNA) is a component of the large subunit of the eukaryotic ribosome.
Source: RNAcentral